GACGAACGCUGGCGGCGUGCUUAACACAUGCAAGUCGAACGAUGAACCCGGAGCUUGCUCCGGCGGAUUAGUGGCGAACGGGUGAGUAACACGUGAGUAACCUGCCCUUGACUCUGGGAUAACUGCUAGAAAUGGUAGCUAAUACCGGAUACGACCCUCGGCGGCAUCGCCAGGGGGUGGAAAGAAUUUCGGUCAAGGAUGGACUCGCGGCCUAUCAGCUAGUUGGUGAGGUAACGGCUCACCAAGGCGACGACGGGUAGCCGGCCUGAGAGGGUGACCGGCCACACUGGGACUGAGACACGGCCCAGACUCCUACGGGAGGCAGGAGUGGGGAAUAUUGCACAAUGGGCGCAAGCCUGAUUCAGCAACGCCGCGUGAGGGAUGACGGCCUUCGGGUUGUAAACCUCUUUUAGUAGGGAAGAAGCGAAAGUGACGGUACCUGCAGAAAAAGCACCGGCUAACUACGUGCCAGCCGCCGCGGUAA
This 484-nucleotide ribosomal RNA is filed under the name uncultured bacterium. Its description in RNAcentral is "partial 16S ribosomal RNA". It matches the Rfam family "Bacterial small subunit ribosomal RNA", at positions 28 to 523 of the family's 1533-position model. The record is from RNAcentral.